CCUACGGGAGGCAGCAGUGGGGAAUAUUGGACAAUGGGCGAAAGCCUGAUCCAGCCAUGCCGCGUGUGUGAAGAAGGCCUUCGGGUUGUAAAGCACUUUCAGUGGGGAAGAAAGCCUUGGGGCUAAUACCCUCGAGGAAGGACAUCACCCACAGAAGAAGCACCGGCUAACUCCGUGCCAGCAGCCGCGGUAAUACGGAGGGUGCGAGCGUUAAUCGGAAUUACUGGGCGUAAAGCGCGCGUAGGCGGUCUGAUAAGCCGGUUGUGAAAGCCCCGGGCUCAACCUGGGAACGGCAUCCGGAACUGUCAGGCUAGAGGGCAGGAGAGGAAGGUAGAAUUCCCGGUGUAGCAGUGAAAUGCGUAGAGAUCGGGAGGAAUACCAGUGGCGAAGGCGGCCUUCUGGACUGACACUGACGCUGAGGUGCGAAAGCGUGGGUAGCAAACAGGAUUAGAUACCCCAGUAGUC
This 465-nucleotide ribosomal RNA is filed under the name Vreelandella stevensii. RNAcentral's name for it is "partial 16S ribosomal RNA". It matches the Rfam family "Bacterial small subunit ribosomal RNA", at positions 338 to 795 of the family's 1533-position model. The record is from RNAcentral. Lineage: Bacteria; Pseudomonadati; Pseudomonadota; Gammaproteobacteria; Oceanospirillales; Halomonadaceae.